This 912-nucleotide ribosomal RNA is filed under the name uncultured Bacteroidota bacterium. Its description in RNAcentral is "bacterial SSU rRNA". It matches the Rfam family "Bacterial small subunit ribosomal RNA", at positions 8 to 916 of the family's 1533-position model. Lineage: Bacteria; Pseudomonadati; Bacteroidota. The record is from RNAcentral.
AGAGUUUGAUCCUGGCUCAGGAUGAACGCUAGCGGCAGGCUUAAUACAUGCAAGUCGAACGGCAGCACGUGUAGUAAUACAUGGUGGCGAGUGGCGCACGGGUGCGUAACACGUAUGUAACCUACCUCUAACAGUGGCAUAACAAUGAGAAAUUAUUGCUAAUUCCGCAUGUGGUUAAUUUGAGGCAUCUUAGAUUAACUAAAGAUUUAUCGGUUAGAGCUGGGCAUGCGUCCCAUUAGCUAGUUGGUGAGGUAACGGCUCACCAAGGCAUCGAUGGGUAGGGGCUCUGAGAGGAUUGUCCCCCACACUGGUACUGAGACACGGACCAGACUCCUACGGGAGGCAGCAGUAAGGAAUAUUGGGCAAUGGACGCAAGUCUGACCCAGCCAUGCCGCGUGAAGGAAGACGGCCCUAUGGGUUGUAAACUUCUUUUCUCAGGGGGUAAACUCUGGAACGUGUUCCGGACUGAAAGUACCUGAGGAAUAAGCAUCGGCUAACUCCGUGCCAGCAGCCGCGGUAAUACGGAGGAUGCGAGCGUUAUCCGGAUUCAUUGGGUUUAAAGGGUGCGCAGGCGGAUAUAUAAGUCGGAGGUGAAAUUCUGAUGCUCAACAUCAGCCGUGCCUUCGAUACUGUAUAUCUAGAGUCAAGUUGGAGUAGGCGGAAUGUGUUGUGUAGCGGUGAAAUGCUUAGAUAUAACACAGAACACCGAUCGCGAAGGCAGCUUACUAAACUUUGACUGACGCUCAUGCACGAAAGCGUGGGGAUCAAACAGGAUUAGAUACCCUGGUAGUCCACGCUGUAAACGAUGAUUACUCGCUGUAGGCGAUACACAGCCAGUGGGUAAGCGAAAGUGGUAAGUAAUCCACCUGGGGGGUACGACAGCGCAACGUUGAAACUCAAAGGAAUUGACGG